GUUUGAUCCUGGCUCAAAAUCAACGCUGGCGGCGUGCCUCAAACAUGCAAGUCAAACAAUUAAUACUUUCUUCGGAGAGUGUAUAAGGUGGCGCACGGGUGAGUAACACGUAGGUAAUCUGCCUUUGAGUGGGGAAUAACGUUCGGAAACGAACGCUAAUACCGCAUAAUGCAGCGGCACCGCAAGGUGAAUAGUUGUUAAAGCGAGCAAUCGCGCUUAAAGAGGAGCCUGCGGCAUAUUAGCUAGUUGGUAAGGUAAUGGCUUACCAAGGCGACUAUCUGUAACCGACCUGAGAGGGUGGUCGGUCACACUGACACUGAAUAACGGGUCACACUCCUACGGGAGGCAGCAGUCGGUAUUUUUGGGCGAUGGGCGCAAGCCUGACCCACCACCGCCGCGUGAAGGAUGAAUUAUUUCGGUAUGUAAACUUCAAAAGAAUGGGAAGAAUCAAUGACGGUACCAUUUAUGAGGUCCGGCUAACUACGUGCCAGCAGCCGCGGUAAUACGUAGGGACCAUGCGUUGUUCUUAUUUACUGGGCGUAGAGGGCGCGUAGGCGGCGUGUUAAGUCAGCUGUGAAAUCUCCGAGCUUAACUCGGAGCGGUCAGCUGAUACUGAUGUGCUAGAGUGCAGAGGGGGCAAUCUUAUUUCUUGGUGUAGCGGUGAGAU
This 667-nucleotide ribosomal RNA is filed under the name uncultured bacterium. RNAcentral's name for it is "bacterial SSU rRNA". It matches the Rfam family "Bacterial small subunit ribosomal RNA", at positions 11 to 687 of the family's 1533-position model. The record is from RNAcentral.